GUGCCAGCAGCCGCGGUAAUACGUAGGAGGCGAGCGUUGUCCGGAUUUACUGGGCGUAAAGAACGCGUAGGCGGUUCGUUAAGUCUGGCGUAAAAUCUCCUGGCUCAACUGGGAGGGCGCACCGGAGACUGGCGGACUGGAGGGCAUCAGAGGAAAGCGGAACUCCCGGUGUAGUGGUGAAAUGCGUAGAGAUCGGGAAGAACACCUGUGGCGAAGGCGGCUUUCUGGGGUGUACCUGACGCUGAGGCGUGAAAGCGUGGGGAGCGAACCGGAUUAGAUACCCCAGUAGUCC
This 292-nucleotide ribosomal RNA is filed under the name uncultured bacterium. RNAcentral describes it as "partial 16S ribosomal RNA". It matches the Rfam family "Bacterial small subunit ribosomal RNA", at positions 505 to 796 of the family's 1533-position model. The record is from RNAcentral.